RNAcentral lists this unclassified non-coding RNA (348 nucleotides) under soil metagenome. RNAcentral's name for it is "partial contains 5.8S ribosomal RNA, internal transcribed spacer 2, and large subunit ribosomal RNA". The stretch from base 1 to 120 matches the Rfam family "5.8S ribosomal RNA", at positions 35 to 154 of the family's 154-position model. The record is from RNAcentral.
GAUGAAGAACGUAGCGAAAUGCGAUAAGUAAUGUGAAUUGCAGAAUUCAGUGAAUCAUCGAAUCUUUGAACGCACAUUGCGCCCGCCAGUAUUCUGGCGGGCAUGCCUGUCUGAGCGUCAUUUCAACCCUCAUGCCCCUAGGGCGUGGUGUUGGGGAUCGGCCAAAGCCCGCGAGGGACGGCCGGCCCCUAAAUCUAGUGGCGGACCCGUCGUGGCCUCCUCUGCGAAGUAGUGAUAUUCCGCAUCGGAGAGCGAUGAGCCCCUGCCGUUAAACCCCCAACUUUCCAAGGUUGACCUCAGAUCAGGUAGGAAUACCUGCUGAACUUAAGCAUAUCAAUAAGCGGAGGA